UACGUAGGGGGCAAGCGUUGUCCGGAAUCAUUGGGCGUAAAGAGCGUGUAGGCGGUCCGGUAAGUCAGCUGUGAAAGUCAAGGGCUCAACCCUUGAAUGCCGGUUGAUACUGUCGGGCUAGAGUCCGGAAGAGGCGAGUGGAAUUCCCGGUGUAGCGGUGAAAUGCGCAGAUAUCGGGAGGAACACCAAUGGCGAAGGCAGCUCGCUGGGACGGUACUGACGCUGAGACGCGAAAGCGUGGGGAGCAAACAGG
RNAcentral lists this ribosomal RNA (253 nucleotides) under uncultured bacterium. RNAcentral's name for it is "partial 16S ribosomal RNA". It matches the Rfam family "Bacterial small subunit ribosomal RNA", at positions 524 to 776 of the family's 1533-position model. The record is from RNAcentral.